AGUGAACGCUGGCGGUAGGCCUAACACAUGCAAGUCGAACGGCAGCACAGUAAGAGCUUGCUCUUACGGGUGGCGAGUGGCGGACGGGUGAGGAAUACAUCGGAAUCUACUUUUUCGUGGGGGAUAACGUAGGGAAACUUACGCUAAUACCGCAUACGACCUACGGGUGAAAGCAGGGGAUCUUCGGACCUUGCGCGAUUGAAUGAGCCGAUGUCGAAUUAGCUAGUUGGCGGGGUAAAGGCCAACCAAGGCGACGAUCCGUAGCUGGUCUGAGAGGAUGAUCAGCCACACUGGAACUGAGACACGGUCCAGACUCCUACGGGAGGCAGCAGUGGGGAAUAUUGGACAAUGGGCGCAAGCCUGAUCCAGCCAUACCGCGUGGGUGAAGAAGGCCUUCGGGUUGUAAAGCCCUUUUGUUGGGAAAGAAAAGCAGCAGGUUAAUACCCCGCUGUUCUGACGGUACCCAAAGAAUAAGCACCGGCUAACUUCGUG
This 492-nucleotide ribosomal RNA is filed under the name uncultured bacterium. RNAcentral's name for it is "partial 16S ribosomal RNA". It matches the Rfam family "Bacterial small subunit ribosomal RNA", at positions 29 to 507 of the family's 1533-position model. The record is from RNAcentral.